Long non-coding RNA from Anguilla rostrata (American eel), 971 nucleotides. RefSeq lists it as uncharacterized. The record is from RefSeq and is a predicted model, not a curated record. The transcript is spliced from 5 exons. Lineage: Eukaryota; Metazoa; Chordata; Actinopteri; Anguilliformes; Anguillidae.
UGUCCACUUAACCUUCUCAUAGCCUAUCAGAAGUGAAAAAUAGGGGAAUCCCGCCUUUAAUUGAUGUUGAGUGACACCUCUCGCAUACGUGCACUGCGUGAUCAGCAGAGCAGUGAGACCGAAAAGGCAAAAGAUAUUUCGAAGGUUUAUCCCCACAGUUCAGCUACCGGGAGUCCGCUUGGAGUACCGUUUUCACAUUCUUUUAUUCUUGGAGACGCUGAUCCACCUCAGGGCUACGAACCCGGGACGAAGAGCAGCGACCCCUGAUCAGCAGGCCGGUCUCGGCGAAGCGUCCGUUUCCGCGCGCCUGCCAGCGACAGACCGAGAGCGCGUUCGGCGCUGAGAGCCGCGGAGAGCCAGACAACCCGGCAAUGUCAAGGGCCUCCACUUCCAGCAAAGUGUGGACCAGUGCUCUCCAACCCUGGUCCUGGAGAGCUACAGGGUCUGCUGGUUUUUGUUUUCACCUUAAAAUCAGCACCCAAUUGAGACCCAAGACACCAGGAUGAUGGACACAGAAGUGUGUUAAUUUUUAUCUCCUUUUACAGCUUUUUAAAAUUAUGUAAAAAAAUUUUAAAAUCAGGUCAAAUGUUCCUACAAGUGCAGCUAUAAUGGCUCCAUAUACAAUGCCCUCCAAAAGUAUGUCAAUGGUUGAGUGAUAUUUGUUUCUGUUUUUUUGCUAUAUAAAUGUAGGCGUUCAAGAGAUGUUCCAGGGUGUUCCACUAGUGUAAUAGCAGGAUUAGCUGGAUGAAGUAAGCCACAAAUAAUGUUUUUGUGUUCUGAACAAAUUUGUGCCACACAGGAAAAUAAUAUUUAAGAAAUAACUCAUGUUGAGCAAGCUAACUAGAGUGUGAUAUUUUGUUUUCAACUUUUCAUUCAAAUAAAGAGCUUUCUCUUUGAAUCUUGCAAUGCUACCGAUGUCUGUGUAAAUAUUAUGAUUAAUAAACAACACAAAUGUCAGACACUGAAAGACG